GGAAGAGGAGGCGCGGCGGAGAGCGCGAAGUCACGGAGCCCCGGUGACGCCAUCCCUGUCUGAAAGCGUCGCGCCCGGCGCAACGAGGGGCAACGCGGCUCUGUCAGCCGCGCCCCAGGAGGAGGGAAACGCGAGGGAUGCUCGGAACUCAGCACCUCGUCCGGCCCCGUGGCUUGUUUUUGUUAAGCUCUGACCUCUUUCCCGAAAAAGCGAUGAGCUAUGCUCAUGCACACCUCCUUGGCAACUUCCUGGAACUGACAACAGCAUUGUAUGCAUCUCUUCAUCCAGUCAUGCCAGUAGAAAACAGUGACAGGAAGGAUAAGAAAAAUGAUGAUCUAUGAAUUCCCUACAGGCAUGGAAGAAAAAAAUUUAAGUCAGGAGCAGCAGUAGCAAGUGGAUCCGACAGGGAACAUGGCAAGACGAGAAGAGAGCCCAAGUCAGAUGACCUGCGCCCUUAUAUCUGUUCCCUUGAGCAGGAAUGAGAACAGUACUCAAAAAGGCUCUUGUGGACCGUAGUUGUUCUUCUCUUCCAGACAGGUACCCGAACUAACUCCCCGUACACUGCAUGAUGUUGUGAUGUGGAAUACUGAUAACCAAAAAUCAUAAAACCAUGACACAAAUACAUUUCCUUUUUGCAUCUCAACACCUACUGCUAUCAGUUAUCAAAUUGAUCCUUGCAUGUAAGUAACAAAUACUUCUUAAGAUUCCUACAUGGGGAGAGUGAAUUUCUGGUACUCAUUGCUUAUUUGGAUACCUACCUCUAGGUAACCCAUUCCAUUUUUGGAAAUAAAAAAGAAACAGCAUAUUACAUUUGUCCAAGAAACAGCAUGUUAAAUUUGUCCAAGCUAAAUCUCAGUCAACUGAAGUCUCAGUUACAAAACUGGGAAGAAGGUUACUUAAAAACAGUUAGAAUAAUAAAAUUCAUUUCUGCUACCAAUCUAAUUUCCUAGCUAUCACUUAAAAUUUAAGGCAUGCUUUAGCUGUGGAAACAAAAUAAACAAUUCAGUACAGUUUCCUUUUCUUUAUUUCCCAACUAAUAAUCAGAAUCACCUCCAAAAUCAUAGAAGUGGAAAUGUUCAAUUAACUCAGAGUUAGAAUGAUGACAAUGCUUCAGAUGUAUAUUUCAGAGAGGAAAAUUAAGGUUCAUGAGGAAUAAGCACAAAGUCAGUGUGAAGUUUUCACAGAGACCAUAUACAAAAUACUUACACAUGUCUGAAGUUUGGCAUUCAGUUUUUAUUUUCUAAAUAGCUUCCUUCCUGUUUUAGCAUUGUCUUCCCAUCUUCCAGAAGAAAUAUCAAAUAGUUUACAUUUGAUAUUACAGUUGUCCUUUUCUUGGCUAUUUGUUUCUAUUCUCUUACUGAAGCAGAGAUACCCCACUCUCUAAUUUGCAUGCUUGUGUGUUUUCUCAUCUAACUUUUGGAUAUUAUAGCAGUUUUGUGGCUUUAGAUGAGUUCGUUCUUUUCUACCAGCUGCAAUGAUUCAGAGUUUAGUUUCAGGGGUUCUAUCAAUUGAAUUAGAUGAAUCUAAAGUCCAUUUAUUGCAAAGUCUUUUGUAGUUUUCAAUCUUUCUACUACAAGUUGGGAACUGGUAUGUUUUCCAGUCUACAAAUAAACUUGCAAGUUGCAACAACUUCGUAUGUUGUGAUAAUCCAGACAUGCUUUAUUUCUUACUAUCUCUUUGAUAGUAAGAGCAUAAUGCUCCAUCAGAUUUUUUUUCCAACUGCCUAUUUCUUACAUACUCCCGACAGGUGAAGAACUUUUAGAUUUUAUUCUCAUCAUCUUACUUCUCUAAAUCAUCUAGAUCUUCCUAUUGAAUUUCCCUUAAUGUCUCCGGACCCUGUAAAACACUCCACUUGAAAUUAAAUGGAAAGACAACUCUGCUGCUAAAGAAAUUCUUCAGGAAGUAAUUUUUCUUUUAAUGUCUAAAAGAUCACAAAAAAAACCAUAGUUAAUACAAUUUCUUCAAGUAUUU
Molecule: long non-coding RNA, 1971 nt
Organism: Gallus gallus (chicken)
Lineage: Eukaryota; Metazoa; Chordata; Aves; Galliformes; Phasianidae
Source: Ensembl